RNAcentral lists this ribosomal RNA (505 nucleotides) under uncultured bacterium. RNAcentral describes it as "partial 16S ribosomal RNA". It matches the Rfam family "Bacterial small subunit ribosomal RNA", at positions 28 to 507 of the family's 1533-position model. The record is from RNAcentral.
GACGAACGCUGGCGGCGUGCCUAAUACAUGCAAGUAGAACGCACAGUUUAUACCGUAGCUUGCUACACCAUAGACUGUGAGUUGCGAACGGGUGAGUAACGCGUAGGUAACCUGCCUGGUAGCGGGGGAUAACUAUUGGAAACGAUAGCUAAUACCGCAUAAUAUUAAUUAUUGCAUGAUAAUUAAUUGAAAGGUGCAAUUGCACCACUACCAGAUGGACCUGCGUUGUAUUAGCUAGUAGGUGAGGUAACGGCUCACCUAGGCGACGAUACAUAGCCGACCUGGGAGGGUGAUCGGCCACACUGGGACUGAGACACGGCCCAGACUCCUACGGGAGGCAGCAGGAGGGGAUCUUCGGAAAUGGACGGAAGUCUGACCGAGCAACGCCGCGGGAGGGAAGAAAGUUUUCGGAUCGUAAAGCUCUGUUGUAAGAGAAGAAAGGGUGUGAGAGUGGAAAGUUCACACUGUGACGUUAUCUGAACAGAAAGGGACGGCUAACUACGUG